This is a long non-coding RNA of Lontra canadensis (Northern American river otter), 1042 nucleotides long. RefSeq lists it as uncharacterized. The transcript is spliced from 2 exons. Lineage: Eukaryota; Metazoa; Chordata; Mammalia; Carnivora; Mustelidae. The record is from RefSeq and is a predicted model, not a curated record.
GGCGGCGGCGGCUCUACUCACCUUCACCGAGAACCCAGCAGCUGCCGCCGCAGCUGCCUCCUCAGGAUCCGGUCGUCGGGGACAGGGAAGGGAGGGGAGAGGGGAACGGAAAACAAAAAAGGGGGAGGGAAGGGGGAGGAAGGAGUCGGAACGGCUUGGAAACGCUCAGCUCAGAGGAGUCGCUGCUGCAGCCACCACCCGGUACUCGCCGCCACCUCCAUAGAGCUCCAACUCACUGCUGGCGCUGAGGCGUGUCUGAAGCCGAACUUAUCACUCUGGGGCAGCCGAACCCACCAGAGCCGCCCCGAAUGGCUCCUUCGUCGCCCAAUCAGCAGCCUGACUGCUGUCUGCCACCAAUCCGCGCAGGGCGGCGGGGAGGAGCCACAGGGCCAAGCUCGGUUGCAGCGCAGCCCCGCCGCAGUGCGCAAAGCCAUAUUCGCGAAGGCUCUGAGGCCAAGCUGGUGGCGUAAGGGGAGCUGAGCACUGUCGAGUUGCGGGCCACUUGCGUAAAGUCGGAGAGCCCUUCUGAGUCUGCGAGAAGCAGCUUUUCCCGAAGGAAUGUCCGGCCAGCGGUCACGGAGGAAUACCCAGACCAUACCAGACUUCUUUGGAAGAAGUGUUUGCGGAGCGCGGGCAUUUGGAGGAUUUUAAUUGAUAGCUGCUGGUUUUUGUUUUUGGGGUUUUGUUUUUAAGCGCGUUGAAGACUGUCAGCUGUGUAUUUCCAUUUUAUGUAAGGUCCACCAUAACAAAAUAGGAUUAGGCUUUUCAAAGCCAGCAGAUGAACUAUUUUUACUCCUCAGGUAAUAUUUUAAAGGAGGGCUACCUUAAAAUGAAGUGUUCCAUCGUUUGCGACAUUUUAGCUACAUAAAAAUGGAGUCCCGGCUAUACAAAAAUGGAGUCAUAUUUCCAUAUACUUAGCAGAAAUUUCCCCAUCUUCAUUUUGAACAUGCAGUUCUUGAUACAUUGUGUAUCAAAAGCAAGAAACUGUUUUAACAUGCAUAUCUUUUAAAGCAAGUGUCCAAUAAAGGGCUGGAUUUUCAAA